This 924-nucleotide ribosomal RNA is filed under the name Chytriodinium sp. Atlantic. RNAcentral describes it as "eukaryotic LSU rRNA". It matches the Rfam family "Eukaryotic large subunit ribosomal RNA", at positions 23 to 852 of the family's 3401-position model. The record is from RNAcentral. Lineage: Eukaryota; Dinophyceae; Coccidiniales; Chytriodiniaceae.
ACCCGCUGAAUUUAAGCAUAUAAGUAAGCGGAGGAUAAGAAACUAAAUAGGAUUCCCUCAGUAAUGGCGAAUGAACAGGGAUAUGCUCAAGAUGGAAACCGGGGCUUUAUAGCUUUGGAUUGUAAUCUCAGGAUAUGUUGCUAACAGAACUGCAGGUGUAAUGCUCUUGGAAAAGAGAACCAUCGAGGGUGAGAGUCCCGUUUGGCAUUUGCUUGUUUCUGUAUACGGCAUGUAUUCUACGAGUCACGUUCCUCGGGAUUGGAGCGCAAAAUGGGUGGUAAAUUUCAUCUCAAGCUAAAUACGAGUUCGAGCCCGAUAGCAAACAAGUACCAUGAGGGAAAGAUGAAAAGGACUUUGAAAAGAGAGUUAAAAGUGCCUGAACUUGCUGCAAAGAAAGCGGAUUGAACCAGUCAGUCUUGGUGAGAUUGUUGUGUACUAUUGUAAGUUGCUGCAGCAGAAGCGUAAGCGCUGUUGUGGUUCACGAACUUGUGUGCGUAAUGUUUCUUGCCAAGCGAGUCACCAGUUGCGUGAGGGUGAUGACAACUUAAGGUAACUGGUAGCAGGUUUUCGGACUUGUGAAUGUAUCUUAUGGAAGUCAUUUUCAUGCUUCGUGUGUUGUGUUGUUGUCUUUGACAUUCACAGCCUGUGUAGACAAAUGGUUGUGCACUGGCCUAGGUGUCGUUUGCUGAGCACCUUCCUGACAUAGCCAUGGUGACUAAAUGGUUCUAUUCGACCCGUCUUGAAACACGGACCAAGGAGUCUAACAUGUGUGCGAGUUCUUGGGCGGCGAAACCUACGUGCGCAAUGAAAGUGAUUACUGAGAUGCUAGCAUCAGCAGCCGACCGAUCAAUUGGGAGAGGUUUGAGCAUGAGCAUAUCUGUUAGGACCCGAAAGAUGGUGAACUAUGCUUGUGAAGGGUGAAGU